CUUGGCCUCCCAAAGUGCUGGGAUUACAGGCUUGGACCACCACAUCCAGCCCAAAGAAAUUUAAUUUAAAAAGUUGUUUCUGAUGGUGGUUUAUUUUCUUAGUGGGCUGUAAGAUAUAUUACCUGCUUUUAAUCAUAAACAAGCAAUAAAAAACUAUUUGAAAUAUCAUUUCCAAAAGUAGGUUUUAUUUCUCUUAUGAACAAUUAAAGCAGAGCUGCCACUACUCAUUCAACAUAAUUAUAUAAAUUAGAAAAGGGAGCCCCUUCUCAAACAGGAUACUUUGUAGUAAUUUAGAUAAUGUGCUGCAUGGACCCAGGCAAGAGGCUUUUAAGUUCAGCAAUAAAUUCCUUAAAUAAUCAGAUAACACAGUAUCUAAUAGCAAGCCUCAUAGAAUCACUGAACUCACAUCUCAGCCGAGGCAUUAGGAAUAACAUAUUCUAACUACUUAAUUUUACAAAUAAAGAAACUAAAAAUCACAGCUGUUAUGAGACUUUCUCAAGGCAGCCACCUAGUUAACACUAGAGCUGAGACAGGAAUCUUCAUCUUGAAUUCCUAGACCUGAGUUUAUUUCUCCGUUUCACAACAAGAGUAAACAACAGGUGUUUUCAACUCAGCAGGUCACAGGGGUUCACUUAUUUCAAUUUCUAGGGGAUUUUAUUGAAAAUUGUUAUCACUGAGUUUUUAUUUGUUUAUGCCAAUUUUCAGCUUUCGUAAAGGGCCAAAUCUAGGUUGUUGACACUAGACUAACCUUUCUCUCAUCCCAAAUUCCUCCAGCUAAAUUGUGUGCAUCAUACUGAUUCAGUAAAAAUAAGUCUCAUCAUUAUUUAACUCUUAUGUCCAUUUGUGUACUUGUGCAAAUUCUGAUGAGAUAGUUUUGUAAAAACAAAAUGUAAAUGAUCCAUAUCUCAAAGCCUAACCUACAUAGUAGCAAUGCUAUUUUUUCUCUAUGGGAUACUUUCCCAGAGCUGCAGGCCAGUGUGGGGGAUAAGAGCGAGGCAUGGCAUCAGAAAUGUGCUAUUUGAUAAUUCCCUGAAUGCUCCUGAACUUAAUUUCCACAUUUAUAUACUGAUGAUUAUAGAAGCACAUUGAGGGCAGUAAUUGUGAUUAAGGAGGUUAUCAUUUGCUGGCUUGAAUUUUACUAUCUACACGGAAAGGACCCCUUCCUCCACGCUCAGGUUCCUGUUUGGCUGCCUCCACCUCAACUUCUAUUUCUCUAGCCCCCAUUUUCCAUUCCAUCCUCUGUUUCUCAUUCCUACUUUCUUAAAUGGUCAAUAGAUAAGUAAGAGAAACACGUGAUAAAGAAAAAGGAGCUGGGUGGGGAGGGUGGGGUGGGGGUGAGAGGUGCAGGGGGAAUGUCAGUGUACAGUCAGUUCAAGGAGUUGCCAGUGUAUGGGACUUUGAAAAAAAAAAUGUGAUUUUAGGCUACAUUAAUGGAGUUGCAUACCAAGAACAAAGAGGUGAUAAUUCUAUACUAUGCUAGAAUUGUUAGGAUCUGAGGGCCGUAUUUCAGGAAGAAUGGUACCAAAUUGAGUUGCUUCCGGAGAGGGGUAAAUAGGCUGGCAAGGCUAUUAAAACCAUGUCAAAUGGGAGCAUCAAAGGCCAUGAGUGAUGUGGUCCUUGGAGAAUAGACUCAUCUCACAAGGACACAGUAGUUCAUCUUAAAAUUGUUUAAAACAAAGAACUAGUCCAUACAAUUUUUGUAGACGUCAAGACCUUUAAUU
This is a long non-coding RNA of Sapajus apella (tufted capuchin), 1721 nucleotides long. RefSeq lists it as uncharacterized. The record is from RefSeq and is a predicted model, not a curated record. Lineage: Eukaryota; Metazoa; Chordata; Mammalia; Primates; Cebidae. The transcript has 2 exons.